RNAcentral lists this ribosomal RNA (571 nucleotides) under uncultured Glomeromycotina. Its description in RNAcentral is "SSU rRNA". It matches the Rfam family "Eukaryotic small subunit ribosomal RNA", at positions 548 to 1114 of the family's 1831-position model. The record is from RNAcentral. Lineage: Eukaryota; Fungi; Glomeromycota.
UUGGAGGGCAAGUCUGGUGCCAGCAGCCGCGGUAAUUCCAGCUCCAAUAGCGUAUAUUAAAGUUGUUGCAGUUAAAAAGCUCGUAGUUGAAUUUCGGGAUUGACGUGAUGUUAUGCCUUAAGGGGUAUGAACUGUCACUGUUGAUUUCUCACCUUCUGGAGAAACUUGAUGUCCUUUAUUGGGUGUCUUGCGGAUCCAGGACCUUUACCUUGAAAUAAUUAGAGUGUUUAAAGCAGGCAUUUUUGCUCGAAUACAUUAGCAUGGAAUAGUAGAAUAGGACGGCAUGGUUCUAUUUUGUUGGUUUCUAGGAUCACCGUAAUGAUUAAUAGGGAUAGUUGGGGGCAUUAGUAUUCAAUUGUCAGAGGUGAAAUUCUUGGAUUUAUUGAAGACUAACUACUGCGAAAGCAUUUGCCAAGGAUGUUUUCAUUAAUCAAGAACGAAAGUUAGGGGAUCGAAGACGAUCAGAUACCGUCGUAGUCUUAACCAUAAACUAUGCCGACUAGGAAUCAGACGAUGUUAAUUUUCUAAUGACUCGUUUGGCACCUUACGGGAAACCAAAGUGUUUGGGUUC